RNAcentral lists this unclassified non-coding RNA (625 nucleotides) under Hevea brasiliensis (rubber tree). The record is from RNAcentral. Lineage: Eukaryota; Viridiplantae; Streptophyta; Magnoliopsida; Malpighiales; Euphorbiaceae.
GUUGAAGACACUCUUUGUGGUGUAAUAGUUGUAAUAUUGAAUUUAUUAAGUUAUGUCUAGAGGAGAAUGAAAGGACUAACUAAUAUAUUUAAUAUGAGCAGUUAUAUAGUGUGGUUCUCUUAAAUGUAAUUAGGUUAAUGAGUAGUGUAGUUUAAGUUUGUAAUUGAUGAUUUAUCAUUAUUGAUAGUGGAAGAUGAUAUGUCCGUAGAUGUAGCCUUAUGUUGAGAGGGUAAAUCACGUAAAUAUUGGUAUUUUAUAUACUUGCUUUAUUUUUUUGCAGUUUACACGCUUCCGUGAUGCACAACAUUUACUUUGGUGUUGGUCAAUAUCUAAGCAUUCUUAACAUUCUACAAAAACCCUUGGUAACAUUUGGAUUUUCUGUGAAGAUUAUGGUGUUUGUUGUUUCUGUUGGAUAGUGAGGAAUAUCUUAGUGCCCUUGGGCGAGUCAUUAGUGCAUUGUCAUAUGUAUAUGGUUUGUCCAUAUCUGUAGAAAAGACAUUGAUCCAAAGAAAAGAGACAAAUAAUAAAUUUUAAUAUCGUACUAUAUAAGAAAUUAGUUAUCUUCACAUUGGAGCAGAGUCAACAUUGGUCCGUAUUUUGAAAAUUAUCAUGAUGUUUUGAGGGA